This 1307-nucleotide ribosomal RNA is filed under the name uncultured bacterium. RNAcentral describes it as "bacterial SSU rRNA". It matches the Rfam family "Bacterial small subunit ribosomal RNA", at positions 28 to 1381 of the family's 1533-position model. The record is from RNAcentral.
AACGUACGCUGGCGGCACGCCUAACACAUGCAAGUCGAACGAAGUAGCAAUACUUAGUGGCAGACGGGUGAGUAACAUGUAGGUAUCUGCCCUUUGGCCUGGAAUAACACGAGGAAACUUGUGCUAAUACCGGAUAAGUCUUUACGGAGAAAGCUUUAUGCACCAUUGGAUGAGCCUGCACUUGAUUAGUUUGUUGGUGGGGUAAUGGCCUACCAAGACUGUGAUCAAUAGCUGAUUUGAGAGGAUGAUCAGCCACAUUGGGACUGAGACACGGCCCAAACUCCUACGGGAGGCAGCAGUGGGGAAUCUUGCACAAUGGAGGAAACUCUGAUGCAGCGAUGCCGCGUGAGUGAAGAAGGCCCUUGGGUUGUAAAGCUCUUUCGUCGGGGAAGAAAAUGACUGUACCCGAAUAAGAAGGUCCGGCUAACUUCGUGCCAGCAGCCGCGGUAAUACGAAGGGACCUAGCGUAGUUCGGAAUUACUGGGCUUAAAGAGUUCGUAGGUGGUUGAAAAAGUUAGUGGUGAAAUCCCAGAGCUUAACUCUGGAACUGCCAUUAAAACUUUUCAGCUAGAGUAUGAUAGAGGAAAGCAGAAUUUCUAGUGUAGAGGUGAAAUUCGUAGAUAUUAGAAAGAAUACCAAUUGCGAAGGCAGCUUUCUGGAUCAUUACUGACACUGAGGAACGAAAGCAUGGGUAGCGAAGAGGAUUAGAUACCCUCGUAGUCCAUGCCGUAAACGAUGUGUGUUAGACGUUGGAAAUUUAUUUUCAGUGUCGCAGGGAAACCGAUAAACACACCGCCUGGGGAGUACGACCGCAAGGUUAAAACUCAAAUGAAUUGACGGGGACCCGCACAAGUAGUGGAGCAUGUGGUUUAAUUCGAAGAUACGCGCAGAACCUUACCAACACUUGACAUGUUCGUCGCGACUCUAAGAGAUUAGAGUUUUCGGUUCGGCCGGACGAAACACAGGUGCUGCGUGGCUGUCGUCAGCUCGUGUCGUGAGAUGUUGGGUUAAGUCCCGCAACGAGCGCAACCCUCACUUUUAGUUGCCAUCAUUAAGUUGGGCACUCUGAAAGAACUGCCAGUGAUAAGCUGGAGGAAGGUGGGGAUGACGUCAAGUCCUCAUGGCCCUUACGUGUUGGGCUACACACGUGCUACAAUGGUAUCUACAACAGGAAGCAAGACUGCGAAGUUAAGCAAAUCCCUAAAAGAUACCUCAGUUCGGAUUGCACUCUGCAACUCGAGUGCAUGAAGCUGGAAUUACUAGUAAUCGUGGAUCAGCGUGCCACGGUGAAAUGCGUUCCCGGGUCU